Molecule: long non-coding RNA, 1532 nt
Organism: Papaver somniferum (opium poppy)
Lineage: Eukaryota; Viridiplantae; Streptophyta; Magnoliopsida; Ranunculales; Papaveraceae
Exons: 3
Source: RefSeq, a predicted model, not a curated record
CUUCGUUUCCUUUGUUUUCUCAGUCGGAGGAGAUUUACGAACUAAAAUUUUCUCUAGGUUGCACUAUGACUUGUUUCUUUUUCACCUGGAAGGAGCUUUGAGAUUCGAGAGCGUUUUCUUCUCUUCUUCUUAUUCUAGAUCUGGUUUCAAGUUUCAAGCCAUUGUUUUCCAAGAAAACUGAGAGAUGAGUGAGAUCGAGAACAGCAGAGAUAAAUCAGAUGGAGUGGAAUUUGAAUUAGGGGUUGGUUUGAAUAAAUCGCUGAGCAGCUGAUGAAUUUGGGAGGUCUGAGAUGGUGAUGAACACAUGAUGAAAUAGAGAUGGAAGAUAAGAUUCUGCUGCUGUGUUUUGAUUUAGAAGACAUGGGUUUAGAGCAGAUUCGCAGAUGGAUGAGUUGCUGCUAUGAAGAAGGUUCUGUGGAUUGUAUGGAAGAUUCGAGUUGGGUUUGUGGCUGAUUGUGAAAGAAUUAGGGCUUUAGUUAUUUCCCCAAAUCAGGGAUGGUCAAAAUCGGGUUAGUAAUACUGUUGAUUCUCGUUACUUCAAUGUAUUUGGUACCGUUGGUCAAAAUUGGAUAAAUGUUUACCAAUGCCUUGAAGGAGGAGUGAUUGCUGUUCUACAGUCUUAUGUUGAUGAAGAUGUAAGUAAAGAUUUCUUUCUUAUUUUUUUUCUUUGAACGAUGAUGGAGCUACCAUCUGAUGCAUGUCUGGUUUGGUCAUGUGUUGUUUAGUUCAGAAGGAAGAGUCAUUCUAUACUUUGAGUUGGGCUUGUAAUAUUGAUGGGAAUCCAUUGUUAGUUGCUGCUGGACUCAAUGGAAUUAUACGUGUUAUUCAACCAAAAUAAAUUUCUCAUUCUAUAUUUUGAGUCAUUCAUAGAGAAACGAAAUUCUCUUUUCCUUCAACUAAAAUAAAUUUAUUUUAUUUCUGAGUUGGACAAUGAUGAUACUCGGUUUGCUAGCAAUCAUAGAGAAGCUGCCAGGGAGAUUUCUAAUGAUUUGGGUACAGAUGAGGAUGUCUUAAGGGUUUGUUGUUUUCCCUUAAUUAGCUAUUUGAAUUCACAAGAUCUUCUGUCUGUUCGAAGCGUCUGCAAAUUAUUGCGCUCCACUGUCCGGGGUGAUGCUCUUUUAUAUACUGAUCAUCCAUUAAAUGAGUGGGUUACAGACGAUGGUUUUCUGCAAUUAGCUAGCAGGGCUCAAGGAAGCUUGAGAACUUUGAGUAAACACCGCGUGUGUGGGAAUCCACAUGCUAUCAUCAGAAAGUAUGGACUGAUGUGCCGCAGGCAGUGCUUCCGUAGCAAUGCCAAGGAGAUCGGUUUCAUCAAGGUGAGCUGUCUACAAGCAAUUGAGAUUUUGUGGUAAAUUUGAUCAUACACUUGGUUAGAUGAGUUUUUGUGGCAAUUCCAUAAUAUAUGUAACAUUUCAGAGGUUGUGUUUUCUGAAAAUAAAGUUCUGAAUUGGUUUUUUCUUAUCUUGUACACAUCUCUCAGCAAAGUAGACCCUGUGGUAGGUGUUUGAAUGGAAUUUGUCAUUUUGUUGUCA